Molecule: non-coding RNA, 1701 nt
Organism: Phascolarctos cinereus (koala)
Lineage: Eukaryota; Metazoa; Chordata; Mammalia; Diprotodontia; Phascolarctidae
Source: RefSeq, a predicted model, not a curated record
CUUUCAGCGAGACAAACAGUUUAUUAAGCAAUAAACCAUACAGGCCAAACUCUUAAGGAAUCUGAACAUUAGUGACACCCAUAGGGACAAGAGGGCGUGAGAAAGUCUCAGCUUUUAAAUGGGGUCCAGGGUGGAUCUUAUAUACACUCUGGGUGACCAUAGGAGGGGCUGGGAAAAGGCUCUUGGUGACUUAGGGAGAAUUCUGAUUGGAAUCUCUGAGAGAUUGACUAGACAAUGGGAAUAGGUAAUGAAGGGAACUGGAAGGAAGAAGUUUGAAAGGCAUCUGAAUAAGAUCAAAAGGACUUUAAUUUCUCAGGACCAGGCUGAAACAGAUAUCACUGCUCAACAAGAAUAAGAUGAAAAACCAUCAUUUUAAUGGGACUCAAACUUUUGCAGAAAGAGUGUGAUGAAAUAAUUACAGUUUAUAUACCAACAUCUGUUGCAAAGGAUGUGGAAAUCAAGGAAUUCUACAGCGAAUCUGAUGAGACUGUCCAAAUCAAGUAAAGACAUAUUUUAAACUUGGUAACUUCAAUGCAAAGGUGGGUAUGGAAAAGAAUGACAAAAAAUAUGGCUCAGGUCUAAGAAACACAAGUUGUCAAAGAUGCACAGGAGACUCAUGCACAUAGAAAUAAAAUAUCUUCUUUAAGAAGAGAGUCUGUAGGCAGUAGAUACAAUAAGAAUCAAAUAACAUCUCAGAAAACGGAGUGAGUGGUUACUCAGGUGGGAACAAUUUCUGAAUAAGCUGUCUGUACAAUUAGGCUGCUGAUCUGUUAUAUAAAAUAAUUUUUUAAAAAAGGAACAAAAUUAGAAAAAUAAACAUGAGAAGACAUGGUGGUUAUUUGAGGGGCUAUCAACACCAACUAUCAACUUUUUUCUAAGGAAGUAAUCAAUGUAAAUCAACAGCCACAAUGAGGAAGCCAAAAAAGCCUAGAAACCAUAGCAGCCAGAAAGAAACAAAACAAACCACUUGAUCUUCCUAAGUGGAGAGAUAAAGCAAUCAUGCAAUACCAAUCUAUGAAGAUUUAAAGGUACAGAUAUGGCAUCAGAGAAAGAGUCACUGUAUUUUCCCUUCCUUGACAAGAGUAAUGCAAUUUUAGAAUAAACCUCCAUUUCAAUGUUAAACAAGCUAACUCCUGCCCCUCUUCUGGUUCUUAUAUAAGGUUGACCAAAAGGAGUCCACACUAUCUUGCAUUCUCAGGCCAACAUCAGACUAGCAGAUUAGAUAUUCUCUGUAUCCCUUACCUUCCCCUGAAAUACAACAAGUUGCUCCCAAGGCCACCAACAUAAUUAUGUGUUUUCUGUAUACUACAAGUAUCUGUGGGAAACUAUUUAAACUUCUCUGUGUGUCAACUGUUACUCCUCCUUGCAAUGAUUUGUGACAAUAUAUGAAAUAAAGCCUUUUACUGACUUGUAUUCUAAACUGCAAUAAAAUUGACACAACAAAAGUUAUCCAAAAAACAAAGGAGAGGCACAUGGUGGAUGUAAAUAGACUAUGUGGCAUAAAAGUACUAUAUGACUAGCUAAGGAAGUAGGAUAGUUAUCUAUCAAGAGCAAGGAGUAAAAGGACAACUCAUUUACUCCACUGGCAUACACACAAUGUCAAGAAAGCUUGCUUGUAUUUGUAUCCCCAGACAAAAAGAUUUAGGGGGAUGCCUAGUCAAGAGUAGCACAGGAAGGGGCAGCUAGGUGGCACAGUGGAUG